ACUCAGUGGACAGGUAUUACAACUGUAGCAGCAUAUUCCAGAUGGUGCGCCAAGCCGCAGAAGGCUACCACUCCCUAUUCACAUUAAUUUAUUUUCUUAUUUCUCUCCUUGUAUUCUUUCCCUCAUAGCUACCUUCAACGCUUUUCCUUUAAACUAGGAGAGGCAGAUGCGCAAGGCUAUCAACUUCUCCCUGAUUUUCAAUGGAUCAUCCAGCAGGAGGCAAUUAUCCUGAAGCAAAAUGGAUAGACGGUGGCGUCGAUUCUUACUCAUCGUGAAAACACAUAUGAAAAGUAGAAAAAGAUACGAGACACAUAAUAACAGUGGGAUGGCGUGAGACUACUUCAGCUAUAGCGUCUAACCAUUAGACAGUGGCUUGUGCCAGUAUGACUGAUCUGGGAAAUGAAUCGAUUGAGUAGGUGCAUAGGAACGAGAAGCAAGAAGGUUUCGUGUUAGAAUUCCAUUGGACAGAAAAUUUAUCUAAAUGUGAAUAAUACAGAAACCACUUUUUUGUGCCAAAUGGCAUUGAUUUCACUUAUUGCAUAUCAGGUGAUGACAGAGUUGACGCCUAUCCUAACGAUCGCAAGGCUCACAACACAAUAAAACACAGACCAAAUUGACCAUCAACACAACAAAUUUUACCUGCAAAAGAAAAAUUGAAAUUAUGCUUCUGACCACAGAUACAAAUAAUGGUCCCAGCUUCCAAAUGCACACAAUGAAUACAAACUGUUCUUGUGACAGAUGAUAGAUCUUUACCAGGGCCGCUAAGAGCUGGGUACUUGAGUGAAUGAGAGAAUUAUGUGGAAAACUCACCUGUAAUGUGUUUUUCUCCAUUUGGAGAAAUUCCCUCAAGACUUCUCUAAUUAUAUGGCAUCUCAGAUUGGAAACUUAAUGAGCAAGGAGUUUUGGUUGAAGAAUUCCUGAUCUACUUUUCUAUGAUGCAGCUCAUGGUUUCUGAAUACACAUUUUUCUUUAAGUUAUUGCUUUAUAUAUAUUCACACCAGAAUUUUCUCUUUGUGUUCAUUCCUCCUGGUGUAGAGAAAGACUGCAUUUCUAUUUUACUGAAUUUGCAUUUGCCAAAGGUGUGAUUAUGGGAUGUUUAU
Molecule: long non-coding RNA, 1100 nt
Organism: Stegostoma tigrinum
Lineage: Eukaryota; Metazoa; Chordata; Chondrichthyes; Orectolobiformes; Stegostomatidae
Exons: 4
Source: RefSeq, a predicted model, not a curated record